RNAcentral lists this ribosomal RNA (253 nucleotides) under uncultured bacterium. RNAcentral describes it as "partial 16S ribosomal RNA". It matches the Rfam family "Bacterial small subunit ribosomal RNA", at positions 524 to 776 of the family's 1533-position model. The record is from RNAcentral.
UACAGAGGUGGCAAGCGUUGUUCGGAAUUACUGGGCGUAAAGGGCUCGUAGGCGGCCAACUAAGUCGGAUGUGAAAUCCCCAGGCUCAACCUGGGAACUGCAUCCGAUACUGGAUGGCUUGAAUUCGGGAGAGGGAUGCAGAAUUCCAGGUGUAGCGGUGAAAUGCGUAGAUAUCUGGAGGAAUACCGGUGGCGAAGGCGGCAUCCUGGACCGACAUUGACGCUGAUGAGCGAAAGCUAGGGGAGCGAACAGG